RNAcentral lists this transfer RNA (67 nucleotides) under Dielis plumipes fossulana. RNAcentral describes it as "tRNA-Asn". The record is from RNAcentral. Lineage: Eukaryota; Metazoa; Arthropoda; Insecta; Hymenoptera; Scoliidae.
UCAAUUAAAGCCAAAUUAGCGGCGUCUUUUUGUUAAUAAGAUUAUUGGAUUAUUAAUUCUAAUUGAA